Molecule: transfer RNA, 75 nt
Filed under: Mycobacteroides abscessus subsp. abscessus
Lineage: Bacteria; Bacillati; Actinomycetota; Actinomycetes; Mycobacteriales; Mycobacteriaceae
Also listed under: 1 other name
Description: tRNA-Met
Rfam family: tRNA
About the family: Transfer RNA (tRNA) molecules are approximately 80 nucleotides in length. Their secondary structure includes four short double-helical elements and three loops (D, anti-codon, and T loops).
Source: RNAcentral
AGCGGGUUAGAGAAGCUCGGCCAUCUCGCAAGGCUCAUAACCUUGAGACCGCGCGUUCGAAUCGCGCACCCGCUA